UACUCUGUGGUGUAAAUGUGCGGCAUCUGUCUGUGAUGCGCAAAGAAUGGCAGCAUAACAGAUACUGAAUCUGGAGGUGAUGGUUCGAAUCCAUUCAGGGUAG
RNAcentral lists this transfer RNA (103 nucleotides) under Prevotella sp. RNAcentral describes it as "tRNA-Gln". It matches the Rfam family "tRNA". Rfam says of the family: Transfer RNA (tRNA) molecules are approximately 80 nucleotides in length. Their secondary structure includes four short double-helical elements and three loops (D, anti-codon, and T loops). The record is from RNAcentral. Lineage: Bacteria; Pseudomonadati; Bacteroidota; Bacteroidia; Bacteroidales; Prevotellaceae.